GGGGACGUGGCUCUGUGGUAGAGCUAUUGCCUUGCAUACACAAGGCCCUGGAUUUGAUCCCCAGCAUCACCA
This 72-nucleotide transfer RNA is filed under the name Cavia porcellus (domestic guinea pig). It matches the Rfam family "tRNA". From Rfam's summary of the family: Transfer RNA (tRNA) molecules are approximately 80 nucleotides in length. Their secondary structure includes four short double-helical elements and three loops (D, anti-codon, and T loops). Further hydrogen bonds mediate the characteristic L-shaped molecular structure. tRNAs have two regions of fundamental functional importance: the anti-codon, which is responsible for specific mRNA codon recognition, and the 3' end, to which the tRNAs corresponding amino acid is attached (by aminoacyl-tRNA synthetases). tRNAs cope with the degeneracy of the genetic code in two manners: having more than one tRNA (with a specific anti-codon) for a particular amino acid; and 'wobble' base-pairing, i.e. permitting non-standard base-pairing at the 3rd anti-codon position. Lineage: Eukaryota; Metazoa; Chordata; Mammalia; Rodentia; Caviidae. The record is from Rfam by way of RNAcentral.